This 654-nucleotide ribosomal RNA is filed under the name uncultured bacterium. RNAcentral describes it as "bacterial SSU rRNA". It matches the Rfam family "Bacterial small subunit ribosomal RNA", at positions 202 to 847 of the family's 1533-position model. The record is from RNAcentral.
UAAAAGUGCUGCAAGGCACUGGUAGAGGAUGGACUUAUGGCGCAUUAGCUGGUUGGUGAGGUAACGGCUCACCAAGGCGACGAUGCGUAGCCGACCUGAGAGGGUGACCGGCCACACUGGGACUGAGACACGGCCCAGACUCCUACGGGAGGCAGCAGUAGGGAAUUUUCGGCAAUGGGGGGAACCCUGACCGAGCAACGCCGCGUGAAGGAAGAAGGAAUUCGUUCUGUAAACUUCUGUUAUAAAGGAAGAAAGACGGAUGGAGGAAAUGACAUCCGAGUGACGGUACUUUAUGAGAAAGCCACGGCUAACUACGUGCCAGCAGCCGCGGUAAUACGUAGGUGGCAAGCGUUAUCCGGAAUUAUUGGGCGUAAAGAGGGAGCAGGCGGCAGCAAAGGUCUGUGGUGAAAGACUGAAGCUUAACUUCAGUAAGCCAUAGAAACCGGGCAGCUAGAGUGCAGGAGAGGAUCGUGGAAUUCCAUGUGUAGCGGUGAAAUGCGUAGAUAUAUGGAGGAACACCAGUGGCGAAGGCGACGAUCUGGCCUGCAACUGACGCUCAGUCCCGAAAGCGUGGGGAGCAAAUAGGAUUAGAUACCCUAGUAGUCCACGCCGUAAACGAUGAGUACUAAGUGUUGGAAGUCAAAUUUCAGUGCU